RNAcentral lists this ribosomal RNA (207 nucleotides) under uncultured bacterium. RNAcentral describes it as "partial 16S ribosomal RNA". It matches the Rfam family "Bacterial small subunit ribosomal RNA", at positions 568 to 774 of the family's 1533-position model. The record is from RNAcentral.
CUCGUAGGCGGUUCGUCGCGUCCGGUGUGAAAGUCCAUCGCUUAACGGUGGAUCCGCGCCGGGUACGGGCGGGCUUGAGUGCGGUAGGGGAGACUGGAAUUCCCGGUGUAACGGUGGAAUGUGUAGAUAUCGGGAAGAACACCAAUGGCGAAGGCAGGUCUCUGGGCCGUCACUGACACUGAGGCGCGAAAGCGUGGGGAGCAAACA